GGUAGCACAGAGGAGCUUGCUCCUUGGGUGACGAGUGGCGGACGGGUGAGUAAUGUCUGGGAAACUGCCCGAUGGAGGGGGAUAACUACUGGAAACGGUAGCUAAUACCGCAUAACGUCGCAAGACCAAAGAGGGGGACCUUCGGGCCUCUUGCCAUCGGAUGUGCCCAGAUGGGAUUAGCUAGUAGGUGGGGUAACGGCUCACCUAGGCGACGAUCCCUAGCUGGUCUGAGAGGAUGACCAGCCACACUGGAACUGAGACACGGUCCAGACUCCUACGGGAGGCAGCAGUGGGGAAUAUUGCACAAUGGGCGCAAGCCUGAUGCAGCCAUGCCGCGUGUAUGAAGAAGGCCUUCGGGUUGUAAAGUACUUUCAGCGGGGAGGAAGGGAUUGUGGUUAAUAACCGCAGUCAUUGACGUUACUCGCAGAAGAAGCACCGGCUAACUCCGUGCCAGCAGCCGCGGUAAUACGGAGGGUGCAAGCGUUAAUCGGAAUUACUGGGCGUAAAGCGCACGCAGGCGGUCUGUCAAGUCGGAUGUGAAAUCCCCGGGCUCAACCUGGGAACUGCAUCCGAAACUGGCAGGCUAGAGUCUUGUAGAGGGGGGUAGAAUUCCAGGUGUAGCGGUGAAAUGCGUAGAGAUCUGGAGGAAUACCGGUGGCGAA
This 662-nucleotide ribosomal RNA is filed under the name Enterobacter sp. RNAcentral describes it as "bacterial SSU rRNA". It matches the Rfam family "Bacterial small subunit ribosomal RNA", at positions 68 to 719 of the family's 1533-position model. Lineage: Bacteria; Pseudomonadati; Pseudomonadota; Gammaproteobacteria; Enterobacterales; Enterobacteriaceae. The record is from RNAcentral.